This 253-nucleotide ribosomal RNA is filed under the name uncultured bacterium. RNAcentral's name for it is "partial 16S ribosomal RNA". It matches the Rfam family "Bacterial small subunit ribosomal RNA", at positions 524 to 776 of the family's 1533-position model. The record is from RNAcentral.
UACGUAGGUGGCAAGCGUUAUCCGGAUUUAUUGGGUGUAAAGGGCGUGUAGGCGGGAAAGCAAGUCAGAUGUGAAAACUCAGGGCUCAACCCUGAGCCUGCAUUUGAAACUGUUUUUCUUGAGUGCUGGAGAGGUAAUCGGAAUUCCGUGUGUAGCGGUGAAAUGCGUAGAUAUACGGAGGAACACCAGUGGCGAAGGCGGAUUGCUGGACAGUAACUGACGCUGAGGCGCGAAAGCGUGGGGAGCAAACAGG